Molecule: ribosomal RNA, 497 nt
Filed under: uncultured bacterium
Lineage: Bacteria
Description: partial 16S ribosomal RNA
Rfam family: Bacterial small subunit ribosomal RNA
Source: RNAcentral
GAUGAACGCUGGCGGCGUGCCUAAUACAUGCAAGUCGAGCGAACAGACGAGGAGCUUGCUCCUCUGACGUUAGCGGCGGACGGGUGAGUAACACGUGGAUAACCUACCUAUAAGACUGGGAUAACUUCGGGAAACCGGAGCUAAUACCGGAUAAUAUAUUGAACCGCAUGGUUCAAUAGUGAAAGACGGUUUUGCUGUCACUUAUAGAUGGAUCCGCGCCGCAUUAGCUAGUUGGUAAGGUAACGGCUUACCAAGGCAACGAUGCGUAGCCGACCUGAGAGGGUGGUCGGCCACCCUGGAACUGAGACACGGUCCAGACUCCUACGGGAGGCAGCAGUAGGGAAUCUUCCGCAAUGGGCGAAAGCUUGGCGGAGCAACGCCGCGUGAGUGAUGAAGGUCUUCGGAUCGUAAAACUCUGUUAUUAGUGAAGAACAAAUGUGUAAGUAACUAUGCACGUCUUGACGGUACCUAAUCAGAAAGCCACGGCUAACUACGUG